GAUGAACGCUGGCGGCGUGCCUAAUACAUGCAAGUCGAGCGAACGGACGCGAAGCUUGCUUCUCUGAUGUUAGCGGCGGACGGGUGAGUAACACGUGGAUAACCUACCUAUAAGACUGGGAUAACUUCGGGAAACCGGAGCUAAUACCGGAUAAUAUUUUGAAUCGCAUGGUUCAAAAGUGAAAGACGGUCUUGCUGUCACUUAUAGAUGGAUCCGCGCUGCAUUAGCUAGUUGGUAAGGUAACGGCUUACCAAGGCAACGAUGCAUAGCCGACCUGAGAGGGUGAUCGGCCACACGAGAACGGAGACGCGGUCCAGACUCCUACGGGAGGCAGCAGAAGGGAAUCUUCCGCAAUGGGCGAAAGCCUGACGGAGCAACGCCGCGUGAGUGAUGAAGGUCUUCGGAUCGUAAAACUCUGUUAUGAGGGAAGAACAUAUGUGUAAGUAACUGUGCACAUCUUGACGGUACCUAAUCAGAAAGCCACGGCUAACUACGUG
Molecule: ribosomal RNA, 497 nt
Filed under: uncultured bacterium
Lineage: Bacteria
Description: partial 16S ribosomal RNA
Rfam family: Bacterial small subunit ribosomal RNA
Source: RNAcentral